ACCUACGGGACGCAGCAGUAGGGAAUUUUCGUCAAUGGGCGCAGGCCUGAACGAGCAAUGCCGCGUGAACGAGGAAGGUCUUCGGAUCGUAAAGUUCUGUUGAAGGGGAAAAAGAGCGGAGAGAGGAAAUGCUUUCUGAUUGAUAUUACCCUUCGAGGAAGUCACGGCUAACUACGUGCCAGCAGCCGCGGUAAUACGUAGGUGGCGAGCGUUAUCCGGAAUGAUUGGGCGUAAAGGGUGCGUAGGCGGCCUGCUAAGUCUGGAGUGAAAGGUACCGGCUCAACCGGUACAGGCUUUGGAAACUG
This 305-nucleotide ribosomal RNA is filed under the name uncultured bacterium. RNAcentral's name for it is "bacterial SSU rRNA". It matches the Rfam family "Bacterial small subunit ribosomal RNA", at positions 337 to 635 of the family's 1533-position model. The record is from RNAcentral.